Non-coding RNA from Myotis davidii, 73 nucleotides. The record is from Rfam. NCBI's taxonomy places the organism in Eukaryota, Metazoa, Chordata, Mammalia, Chiroptera, Vespertilionidae.
GCCAUUUGGCUCAAUGGUUAGAGUGUUGGCCUGUGGACCCAAGGGUCACGGGUUCACUUCCUGGUCAAGGGCA